AGGUUAUGGUGUGGACACUUCCUCAACAAAUCUUUGUACCUCUCUCAAGCUUUAAACAAACUCUCUUGAACAUGGUGAGCAAAGGUCAUUAUCUCAUUUCGAAGCUU
This is a non-coding RNA of Jatropha curcas, 107 nucleotides long. The record is from Rfam. NCBI's taxonomy places the organism in Eukaryota, Viridiplantae, Streptophyta, Magnoliopsida, Malpighiales, Euphorbiaceae.